Molecule: ribosomal RNA, 402 nt
Filed under: uncultured bacterium
Lineage: Bacteria
Description: bacterial SSU rRNA
Rfam family: Bacterial small subunit ribosomal RNA
Source: RNAcentral
UAGGGAAUAUUAGAAAUGGACGCAAGUCUGAUCUAGCAACACCGCGUGUGCGAUGAAGGCCUUCGGGUCGUAAAGCACUUUUUGAAGGAAUAGGAAGGAAUGUACUUCCAGAAUAAGUCUCGGCUAACUACGUGCCAGCAGCCGCGGUAACACGUAGGAGGCAAACGUUAUCCGGAUUUACUGGGCGUAAAGCGCGUGUAGGUGGUACUGUAAGUAGGGCGUGAAAGCUCCUGGCUCAACUGGGAGAGGCCGUUCUAAACUACAGAACUAGAGGAUGGUAGAGGGAGGUGGAAUUCCAGGUGUAGCGGUGGAAUGCGCAGAUAUCUGGAGGAACACCGGUGGCGAAGGCGGCCUCCUGGACCAUUCCUGACACUCAGACGCGAAAGCUAGGGUAGCAAACGG